UAUAGUAUUUUAUAUUACAUUAUUUUCUCGUGGAAAUAAAAGCGCAUUUGCACUUCAGUCAGACAUUUUAUCAAACACCUUUUCCUCAAUAUACGUUCUUUACCUUCCAUCGAAUCUUCUCCUCAAUAAUGUUUCGGUCAACAAUUUGAUUCUACAAAAGAUGAGAAGAAGAUUUACAAGGAUAUCUGCCCUUUUUCCUGCAAUUCGUAACUGUGUCAAAUUUGAGCACACAUCAUCAUAUUUCAAUCAGCAUAUACAAUUUCCGACUCGAAAUGCCACUACAUUUACAAGUACCCAUCUUUUAAAACCCUCGCGUUAUAUGGUUCCUAUCAAUAAUUUUUCCAUCACCAGGCCCUUCUCAACCAACAGCGACCAAGAGUGUUCUAGUGACACGGAAUAUGAAUUUGAGCGUCAUGCCGAUGGUGAAAAGCUUGGAGAUUUUAAAGGGGUAACGAACCUGGAUUCUUUAGAUGAUUUAGAAACUAUUAUGGCAAUUUUACGAGCAGGUGGUGUUCAAGAGAAGAGUAAAAACCUGGAAAAAUGUGGAGUGAUGGUUACGCCGGCGAUAGUGUCUAAUGUUCUUUCUCGGGUUCGAAAUGAUUGGGAAACUGCGUUUACCUUCUUUUUGUGGGCUGGAAAACAGCCCGAUUAUGCUCAUUCCAUUAGGGAGUAUCAUUCAAUGAUCUCCAUUUUAGGGAAGUUUAGGAAGUUUGAUACUGCUUCAGCUUUGAUCAAUGACAUGAGAGCUGCAUCUUUACUAACUCCACAGACCCUUUUGAUAAUGAUCAGAAAAUAUGCAGCUGUGCACGAUGUAGGCAAGGCAAUCAGUACUUUCUAUGCGCUUAGACGGUUUAAAUUCGAAAUUGGAAUGGAGGAAUUCCAAGGUUUGCUUUCUGCUCUCUGUCGAUACAAGAAUGUGAAGGAUGCUGAGCAUUUGCUCUUCUGUAACAAAAGCUCUUUCCCUUUGAAUACCAAGAGCUUCAAUAUUAUACUUAAUGGAUGGUGCAAUGUGGUUGGUGAUUUGCGCGAGGGUAAACGAAUUUGGAGGGAGAUGGAGGAGAGAGGGAUUAUGCGCGAUGUUUACUCUUAUGCUAGUAUAAUGUCUAGCUAUUCGAAAGCUGGUAAUCUUAAUGCGGUUUUCAGGCAUUUCGACCAGAUGAAGGCUCUGGAAAUUGAACCAGAUAGGAAAGUCUACAAUGCCGUGAUUCAUGCUUUUGCAAAAGGGAGGCUUGUGAAAGAAGCUCGCAUUCUCAUGAAAACAAUGGAAGAGAAGGGAAUUAAUCCCGACACCAUCACUUAUAACUCGCUCAUCAAGCCUCUUUGCAAGGCACGAUUGUUUGAUGAAGCCAAAGAAGUUUUUAAUGAGUUGAUAGAGAGAGGCCUUUCCCCGAGUACUCGAACUUACCAUGCUUUCUUUCGGAUUUUAAGGACUGGGGAAGAAGUGUUUCAGCUUCUCGAUAGGAUGCAUAUGGAAUGCCAUCCGAGUCAUGAUACGUAUAUAAUGUUGAUCAGGAAAUUUUGUCGUUGGCGCCAGCUGGACAAUGUCAUCAAGCUGUGGACUGAGAUGAGCAAGAACGGACUUGACCCUGAUCGAAGCUCGUACAUUGUGCUGAUACAUGGGCUCUUUUUGAAUGGGAAAUUGGAGGAGGCUUAUAAAUAUUACUUAGAAAUGAAGGAAAAGCAUUUGUUGACAGAACCAAAAAUUGAUGAAAUGCUUCAGGCUUGGUUGCAAGCGAAGGCUGAUUCAGGGCACCAUGCGACUGAAUCAACACACAGUCAAUCAAAUUGUAGUCAGUUAGGACCAAAGGACAGAGUAAAGUCCAAGACAUAUGAUAGGAACAUUGACUUCCGUCGACAACCGGAAACAAAAAGCAUUACCAGAGAGAGAGGCUUUUCUUUUUGUGAUAGUUAAGUAGUGAUCUUGACUCUGUGGUCCUUGAGCAACCAUCCUUUUGAGCAACACGAAGAAUUAUGUGCAGGAUAGUACUGAGAAAUCAAACUCAUUUGAUCAUCGUAAAGGUUCAUAUUUUCUGGGGUGCCAAGUUCACAGGACUUUUACUUAUAAGCUGGAGUAAUAGAGAAUGUGGAGUGAAUUUGGGACUUUGAUGCUUUAUUUAUAGAGCGGUCAUUUGAAAGAAACCUUGGUGUCUUCGGAAUUGUCAAUGAUGCCAUUUGUCUGAAGUAUGAAAACAUUGAUUCAGUUAAUGUAUCAUGCGGAGUUUAACAAUUUCUCGUGUCAUUCAAAGUCUUUUUCUAUCAUGUUAAGAUUUUCCAAAAGUGUCCGAAUUCAAAAGACAAAUAUAAUAUGAGAGGAACUAUGGAAUACAUGAGUAAUUUUGUUUAGU
RNA transcript from Olea europaea var. sylvestris, 2345 nucleotides. It is a transcript of the gene named pentatricopeptide repeat-containing protein At5g15010, mitochondrial, with no coding region annotated. The transcript has 2 exons. Lineage: Eukaryota; Viridiplantae; Streptophyta; Magnoliopsida; Lamiales; Oleaceae. The record is from RefSeq and is a predicted model, not a curated record.